GCUACCCAUAAAAGUGUUGCAGGUAUAGCUGCUGUGUCACAUAUGCAUCUGUAGGGGGCAGACAGGAGGAAGGCUAGUCUGUGCUUAGUGUUCUGACCUCUGAACAUCUGAAUGAUUAAUAGCCUAAAAUU
Molecule: small nucleolar RNA, 131 nt
Organism: Apodemus sylvaticus (European woodmouse)
Lineage: Eukaryota; Metazoa; Chordata; Mammalia; Rodentia; Muridae
Product: small nucleolar RNA SNORA17
Exons: 1
Source: RefSeq, a predicted model, not a curated record